GAUGAACGCUGGCGGCGUGCUUAACACAUGCAAGUCGAACGAUGAAGCUCAGCUUGCUGGGUGGAUUAGUGGCGAACGGGUGAGUAACACGUGAGUAACCUGCCCUUAACUCUGGGAUAAGCCUGGGAAACUAGGUCUAAUACCGGAUAGGAGCGCCUACCGCAUGGUGGGUGUUGGAGAGAUUUAUCGGUUUUGGAUGGACUCGCGGCCUAUCAGCUUGUUGGUGUGGUAAUGGCUCACCAAGGCGACGACGGGUAGCCGGCCUGGGAGGGUGACCGGCCACACUGGGACUGAGACACGGCCCAGACUCCUACGGGAGGCAGCAGUGGGGAAUAUUGCACAAUGGGCGAAAGCCUGAUGCAGCGACGCCGCGUGAGGGAUGACGGCCUUCGGGUUGUAAACCUCUUUCAGUAGGGAAGAAGCGAAAGUGACGGUACCUGCAGAAGAAGCACCGGCUAACUACGUG
This 466-nucleotide ribosomal RNA is filed under the name uncultured bacterium. RNAcentral's name for it is "partial 16S ribosomal RNA". It matches the Rfam family "Bacterial small subunit ribosomal RNA", at positions 28 to 507 of the family's 1533-position model. The record is from RNAcentral.